GAUGAACGCUGGCGGCGUGCUUAACACAUGCAAGUCGAACGGAAAGGCUCCUUCUUGCUGGGGUACUCGAGUGGCGAACGGGUGUGUAACACGUGUGUGAUCUGCCCUGCACUUCGUGAUAUGCCUGGGUAACUGGGUCUAUUACCGGAUAGGUCCUCAUUUUGGUUGGUGUGGUGGAAUGUUUUUCGGUGUGGGAUGGGCUCGAGGCCUAUCAGCUUGUUGGUGGGGUAAUGGCCUACGAAGGCGUCGACGGGUAGCCGGCAUGUGAGGGUGUACGGCCACAGUGGGACUGAGAGACGGACCAGACGGCAACGGGAGGCAGCAGGGGGGAAUAUGGCAGAAUGGGCGGAAGCGUGAUGAAGCGAAGGGGGGAGGGGGAAGACGGGCUACGGGUUGAAAAAAAAUGGCGAAAGGGACGAAGCGAAAGUGACGGUAACUGGAGAAGAAGCACCGGCUAACUACGUG
RNAcentral lists this ribosomal RNA (465 nucleotides) under uncultured bacterium. Its description in RNAcentral is "partial 16S ribosomal RNA". It matches the Rfam family "Bacterial small subunit ribosomal RNA", at positions 28 to 507 of the family's 1533-position model. The record is from RNAcentral.